Molecule: ribosomal RNA, 762 nt
Filed under: uncultured bacterium
Lineage: Bacteria
Description: bacterial SSU rRNA
Rfam family: Bacterial small subunit ribosomal RNA
Source: RNAcentral
AGAGUUUGAUCAUGGCUCAGGACGAACGCUGGCGGUGUGCUUCACACAUGCAAGUCGAACGAGGUAGCAAUACCUAGUGGCGGACGGGUGAGUAACGCGUGGGAAUCUGCCUAAAGAUGGGGGAUAGCUAUCCGAAAGGGUAAUUAAUACCGCAUAUGUAUACAUCCCGACAGGGAUAUAUAUGAAAGGAGUAAUCCGUCUUUAGAUGAGCCCGCGUCCGAUUAGCUAGUUGGUAGGGUAAAAGCCUACCAAGGCGACGAUCGGUAGGUGGUCUGAGAGGAUGAUCACCCACAAUGGAACUGAGACACGGUCCAUACUCCUACGGGAGGCAGCAGUGGGGAAUUUUACGCAAUGGGCGAAAGCCUGACGUAGCGACACCGCGUGAGCGAAGAAGCCCUUUGGGGUGUAAAGCUCUGUCAGCUGGGACGAAAAAAAUGACGGUACCAGCAGAGGAAGCAUCGGCUAACUACGUGCCAGCAGCCGCGGUAAGACGUAGGAUGCGAGCGUUGUCCGGAUUUAUUGGGCGUAAAGGGUUCGUAGGCGGUUUGUUAAGUCUGGUGUUAAAGAUCGGGGCUCAACCCUGGGACUGCACUGGAUACUGGCAGACUGGAGUGCGGUAGAGGUUAGUGGAAUUCCUGGUGUAGCGGUGAAAUGCGUAGAUAUCAGGAAGAACACCAGUGGCGUAGGCGACUAACUGGGCCGUAACUGACGCUGAUGAACGAAAGCCAGGGGAGCAAAUGGGAUUAGAUACCCCCGUAGUCC